Molecule: non-coding RNA, 1385 nt
Organism: Physcomitrium patens
Lineage: Eukaryota; Viridiplantae; Streptophyta; Bryopsida; Funariales; Funariaceae
Source: RefSeq, a predicted model, not a curated record
CCCAGAACCCAGUCGGGACUUAGUCGUGAGGAGGUGGAAAGGUAGCAGACCAAGCAACAAGAGCACAGCAGAGGGCACAAGUGCGAAAUUUUGUUUCAGGUUUAGUCCGAUCGUGGCUCUGUGCUCAUGUUUCCGCUCGCUGAAUCUAGGGACAUGGACGUGUCGUCGAUCGCCUGUUUAAGUGGCGAGGGAAAGGUCUCAGGGAGGAUGCUCUGACGACUCUUCACGUCGAUCUGCUCGCUAAAGGGUACUAUACGAGCAGAGGUUCCAUUGGGACCCGUCCGCAGGAAGUUUGUCUUAGGUUUUUUUCUUCUGUCGGCGCAAGGUUAAGGUAGACUAGCAGAUCAGGAGAUUGAGCAGGUGGUAGCGAGGAGUAAGCAGUGGCUCGGGAAUAUUUUGAGGUCUGGCUUGGAGCCGUAGCAGUGGGUCUUGUGUCGUUCGGAAGCUCCGACACACAUGAUUCUGUGGUAGUACGAACGUUCUGGUAAGAUCGGCAUUGAAUUCAUACACAAGUUGAAUAUUGUGAUUUAAAUGUAGAGAAUUGUUGCGCGAGCUUACUUCCUUCUGCCAAUGUGAACGCCGCUAAUUGUUGUCCGGAGAUUGGAUAGAAUAUUGUAUGAAUGUUUAAUACAGAUAGAAUUUGCCAUCGAUUGUGGGCGGGUUCAUUGUUGGAGGGCGUUGGAUUUUCUUCGAUCAGUAUGCUGGAUAUUGGGAUUUCUGAAGGUAGGAGCCGCUUGAUGUAAACUUCCUGGAAAGUUUAGAAUCAUCGAAAUAGGAACUGAGGAAAUUGUGGCAACGAAUCAAAUGACAAGCGUUGCAGUGCGUGGGGAGUUUGGAUCACAUAGUUUAGCAGUAGUUGUGGGAGCUCAACUUUCGGAUUGUCAUGAGUGUUUUGUGUCGCCGAAGCCGCAUAAACAAUGGUUCCAACAAGCUUAAGAGCCAUCGAGAUGGGAGUGUUGAGGUAAUUGGAGCGGGCUGCUGGAGUGAAGGGAGGCCCUCAACCUCAAGCAAAUAGGCUGUGAUAAGUAAGAAAAGAGAAAAGAAUUGAAAUUUUUAUAUUUUGUGUAUGUGAGUUGGUAAGGUGAUCUAGUUUGUGAUUGUGUUUUUUUUUUUUUUUUUUUUUUUUUUUUGCUAUUAAAUUGUUUGUUAUUUAAUAAUUUAUUGUGAUUGUUGUGAAUUAGUCAUUAAGAUUAAGAGAAAGGGUUGUUAGAGUUGUUGAGAGAUAGAGCUUGUUGGUAUAUAUUGGGUAUGUUAAUGUAUAUUAAUGUUUGUUUGAGUAAGGAUGGUUUAGUAGUUGUAAGUUUUUAUACCAUUUAUAUAAAGACAUAUUAAACAAAAACCAAUGUAUAAUUCUAUGCAAGAAUAUUAAACUUGUAAUGAAGGCA